Molecule: non-coding RNA, 23 nt
Filed under: Cricetulus griseus (Chinese hamster)
Lineage: Eukaryota; Metazoa; Chordata; Mammalia; Rodentia; Cricetidae
Source: RNAcentral
AAAAGAAACAUUAAGACUGAGAC